UACGUAGGUGGCGAGCGUUAUCCGGAAUGAUUGGGCGUAAAGGGUGCGCAGGCGGUCCUGCAAGUCAGAAGUGAAAGCCCGGGGCUCAACUCCGGGACUGCUUUUGAAACUGUGUUGCUAGAUUGCAGGAGAGGUAAGUGGAAUUCCUAGUGUAGCGGUGAAAUGCGUAGAUAUUAGGAGGAACACCAGUGGCGAAGGCGGCUUACUGGACUGUAAAUGACGCUGAGGCUCGAAAGCGUGGGGAGCGAACAGG
Molecule: ribosomal RNA, 253 nt
Filed under: uncultured Coprococcus sp.
Lineage: Bacteria; Bacillati; Bacillota; Clostridia; Lachnospirales; Lachnospiraceae
Description: partial 16S ribosomal RNA
Rfam family: Bacterial small subunit ribosomal RNA
Source: RNAcentral